RNAcentral lists this ribosomal RNA (374 nucleotides) under Saposhnikovia divaricata. Its description in RNAcentral is "eukaryotic LSU rRNA". The stretch from base 1 to 88 matches the Rfam family "5.8S ribosomal RNA", at positions 69 to 154 of the family's 154-position model. The record is from RNAcentral. Lineage: Eukaryota; Viridiplantae; Streptophyta; Magnoliopsida; Apiales; Apiaceae.
GAAUUGCAGAAUCCCGUGAACCAUCGAGUCUUUGAACGCAAGUUGCGCCCGAAGCCACUAGGCUGAGGGCACGUCUGCCUGGGUGUCACGCAUCGUCUUUGCCCACAGACCACUCACACCUGAGAAGUUGUGUAGGUUUGGGGGCGGAAACUAGCCUCCCGUACCUUGUCGUGCGGUUGGCGGAAAAACGAGUCUCCGGCGACGGAUGUCGCGACAUCGGUGGUUGUAAAAGACCCUCUUCUCUUGUCGCGCGAAUCCUCGUCAUCUUAGAGAGAUCCAGGACCCUUAGGCAGCACACACUCUGUGCGCUUCGACUGUGACCCCAGGUCAGGCGGGACUACCCGCUGAGUUUAAGCAUAUCAAUAAGCGGAGGA